CGUCAGGUGGGCCCGGCCCAGAGUGCGCCGCGACCGGUUGCCAUGGCAGCGUGGCGCGCGCGCCGGCAUGGCGGCGGCCCUCGGCCCCCUCAGGGUCUGUGAGGAACCGGGAACUCACUCAGCCACUUCUGUCUUCACCUUGGAUAUGACCUUGCUGUGCCUGAAGCUUAAUGGCUGUAAUAUGCAGUGUGAGUUAAGUCUAAGAUGAUUCUCAAAUGCAUUGCAGGCUAUCCUUUGAAAUAACACAAUGCAGGAGACCUCUAAACCUUUCCUUUCUGGACCACUUUGCCCUAUCUACCCGCUUUCAGUGCCUGGGGAUGUGAUUGCUCUUGUUGCCAACACUGACCCUUCUUGAAGCGUGGGAUGGACAUGAAGCAUUUUAUAACCAAGCCCAGCAAUUUCGGAAGGAAGCUUCAAUUUUCAAUAAAAUGCUCAACAGUCGGUGCGACACACUACCACCACUUGCUGGCGCGGCGGCCCUGGGAAUGAAGGAAGUUCACACCCUUGACAAGGACUUUGUUUCCCUCCCUCUGGCUGAAGACCAAGUAAAAGCGGUGCAAAGGCGCUCUUUGUCACCAGGGCUAGACUUUUCAUUCUUUUGGAAUGGAAGCGUAUAGAAACGCAGAAACGGAUGGGAGAAAGAAACUCUUUCCCACCAACUCCAUUGCAGGCCUUGCGGUCUGCCCUUAAUAGCCCUGUAGAUAUAUAAUGUGCAUAGUUCACCACACAUAUAUCAUUCUGUUCUUAAAUUGAUGUAUAUUACUACCACCCCAUAAUUUGGCUAGCAGGCUGUCACACAUUCUAAGUACCCAACAAGAACCUCUCAUUUCUAACUGCAGCAUAAAGCCUCAUGGUGUCCCCACCUAGCUCUGGAUUUAUGUCCCUCAGUUACUCGUAUUCCAAAAGCAGAUCUCCUGUCAAACUCCUUUUUCUCUCCCUACAAGGCUGAAUAUUUUAUGCACAUCAAGCAGUUCCUCAUCAGGCAUUUCCUCUGCCCUCAAGAUACUGAACUUUUCUGGAGAGGUUCCAAGACAUGGGUAAGGUGGGUUGUUUUUCUUUCUUUCUCUCUCUAGGCUGCAGCCCAGAGUUGAGCAGAACUUUCCAAGCAAACAGCUUUAUUCAGUGACACGGUUGUUCGCUGAACUUUGUGAUUAAUUUCUUUGCUGAUACACCUGAUCCUCCUUCCCUUGCAAUUGAAUCCUCUCACCUUUGUGCAAUUUGCUUCUCACUAUCUCUCCUAAGCCUUAGAUCUGAGGAACCGCUUUCCACUUUUAGCCCGUAAGUGUAUUUGUUUGAAACACCUUUUCUCCUGUGCAACCUUCUCCUUGAGGUCCUUUUUAUCUAGGUACAACGUGCUGCAGAGCACCAGCUCUUUCCUGACAACACCCUGAUAACCAUUGCCCCACUUUACACAUGCUCUUAUCCAGCAAUUGUUAUUCCAGGAGACACCCUGCCAUCGAUUUUUAGCUUCCUGAUUUAUGGUCACUUCCCCUUUGCUCCAUUGCUCCAGCGUUUACAUGAAUUCUUAUUCUAGCUGCAAUACUUUUGGCAGGUGGCACAGCAUAAGUAGAUAUUUCAUCCACUGCAGGAAUUCUCAAAAUUCCCUGAUCCUGCUUGAUUGUCCACAAAGAGCAGCAAAGAAUCAAGACAAGUGAUGUGGUUUCACCUAUUAGGUUUUUUUUAAAAAAAGAAAUAUUCUGUACCUGUGUUUGAGCCGUGUAUGUUAAAUAUUCUUACUGGAUUGAGAUAAAUAAAAUAAACCAACAAAUGCAAAAUGAGUACCACUCCAGUAAUUCUGAGUAUUCUCCACAUACCCAGCUUUAUCUCUGAGUGUAUGAGGCUUUGCUCUGUUUCAUGACCCCAAGAAGUGAUACCAUGGGGAAAAAAAAAAUCACAAAAAGCUCUCAUUUAGAAGAAAAAAGAGGAGAAAAAGUAAUUUUAAAAAGCGUAAUUCUUUCCUCAUUGGCAAAGAAUUGGAAACUAGCAGUUUAUCUACGUGGAGAGGGAAGGAAAAAGUUUCCCAAACUGAUGAUCAAAAAUAAAAUAAGGACAAGAUAUUCUGCUUAAGCAUUUGUUAAAGUAAGGGGCUGGAGCGGGCGAUGA
This is a long non-coding RNA of Chroicocephalus ridibundus (black-headed gull), 2103 nucleotides long. RefSeq lists it as uncharacterized. NCBI's taxonomy places the organism in Eukaryota, Metazoa, Chordata, Aves, Charadriiformes, Laridae. The transcript has 4 exons. The record is from RefSeq and is a predicted model, not a curated record.